AGUGAACGCUGGCGGUAGGCCUAACACAUGCAAGUCGAACGGCAGCACAGUAAGAGCUUGCUCUUACGGGUGGCGAGUGGCGGACGAGUGAGGAAUACAUCGGAAUCUACUUUUUCGUGGGGGAUAACGUAGGGAAACUUACGCUAAUACCGCAUACGACCUACGGGUGAAAGCAGGGGAUCUUCGGACCUUGCGCGAUUGAAUGAGCCGAUGUCGGAUUAGCUAGUUGGCGGGGUAAAGGCCCACCAAGGCGACGAUCCGUAGCUGGUCUGAGAGGAUGAUCGGCCACACUGGAACUGAGACACGGUCCAGACUCCUACGGGAGGCAGCAGUGGGGAAUAUUGGACAAUGGGCGCAAGCCUGAUCCAGCCAUACCGCGUGGGUGAAGAAGGCCUUCGGGUUGUAAAGCCCUUUUGUUGGGAAAGAAAAGCAGCAGGUUAAUACCCCGCUGUUCUGACGGUACCCAAAGAAUAAGCACCGGCUAACUUCGUG
Molecule: ribosomal RNA, 492 nt
Filed under: uncultured bacterium
Lineage: Bacteria
Description: partial 16S ribosomal RNA
Rfam family: Bacterial small subunit ribosomal RNA
Source: RNAcentral